GGGUUAAGUCCCGCAACGAGCGCAACCCUUGCCUUUAGUUGCCAGGCAGUUCGGCUGGGCACUCUAAAGGGACUGCCGGUGUUAAACCGGGAGGAAGGUGGGGAUGACGUCAAGUCCUCAUGGCCUUUAUGACCAGGGCUACACACGUACUACAAUGGCCGAUACAAAGGGCAGCGACACUGCGAGGUGAAGCCAAUCCCGUAAAAAUCGGUCUCAGUCCGGAUUGGAGUCUGCAACUCGACUCCAUGAAGUUGGAAUCGCUAGUAAUCGUGGAUCAGCAUGCCACGGUGAAUACGUUCCCGGGCCUU
RNAcentral lists this ribosomal RNA (308 nucleotides) under uncultured Desulfobulbus sp. Its description in RNAcentral is "bacterial SSU rRNA". It matches the Rfam family "Bacterial small subunit ribosomal RNA", at positions 1077 to 1382 of the family's 1533-position model. The record is from RNAcentral. Lineage: Bacteria; Pseudomonadati; Thermodesulfobacteriota; Desulfobulbia; Desulfobulbales; Desulfobulbaceae.